Molecule: ribosomal RNA, 1033 nt
Filed under: Enterobacter cloacae subsp. cloacae
Lineage: Bacteria; Pseudomonadati; Pseudomonadota; Gammaproteobacteria; Enterobacterales; Enterobacteriaceae
Description: bacterial LSU rRNA
Rfam family: Bacterial large subunit ribosomal RNA
Source: RNAcentral
GGGUUGUGAGGUUAAGCGACUAAGCGUACACGGUGGAUGCCCUGGCAGUCAGAGGCGAUGAAGGACGUGCUAAUCUGCGAAAAGCGCCGGCGAGGUGAUAUGAACCUUUGACCCGGCGAUGUCCGAAUGGGGAAACCCAGUGUGUUCCGACACACUAUCGUUAACUGAAUACAUAGGUUAACGAGGCGAACCGGGGGAACUGAAACAUCUAAGUACCCCGAGGAAAAGAAAUCAACCGAGAUUCCCCCAGUAGCGGCGAGCGAACGGGGAGCAGCCCGGAGUCUGAAUCAGCUUGUGUGUUAGUGGAACGGUCUGGAAAGUCCGACGGUACAGGGUGAUAGUCCCGUACACGAAAGCACACUUGCUGUGAACUCGAAGAGUAGGGCGGGACACGUGGUAUCCUGUCUGAAUAUGGGGGGACCAUCCUCCAAGGCUAAAUACUCCUGACUGACCGAUAGUGAACCAGUACCGUGAGGGAAAGGCGAAAAGAACCCCGGCGAGGGGAGUGAAAAAGAACCUGAAACCGUGUACGUACAAGCAGUGGGAGCACCUUCGUGGUGUGACUGCGUACCUUUUGUAUAAUGGGUCAGCGACUUAUAUUCUGUAGCAAGGUUAACCGUAUAGGGGAGCCGAAGGGAAACCGAGUCUUAACUGGGCGUUAAGUUGCAGGGUAUAGACCCGAAACCCGGUGAUCUAGCCAUGGGCAGGUUGAAGGUUGGGUAACACUAACUGGAGGACCGAACCGACUAAUGUUGAAAAAUUAGCGGAUGACCUGUGGCUGGGGGUGAAAGGCCAAUCAAACCGGGAGAUAGCUGGUUCUCCCCGAAAGCUAUUUAGGUAGCGCCUCGUGAACUCAUCUUCGGGGGUAGAGCACUGUUUCGGCUAGGGGGCCAUCACGGCUUACCAACCCGAUGCAAACUACGAAUACCGAAGAAUGUUAUCACGGGAGACACACGGCGGGUGCUAACGUCCGUCGUGAAGAGGGAAACAAACCAGACCGCCAGCUAAGGUCCCAAAGUCAUGGUUAAGUGGG